GUUUGAUCCUGGCUCAGGAUGAACGCUAGCUACAGGCUUAACACAUGCAAGUCGAGGGGCAGCAUGGUCUUAGCUUGCUAAGGCCGAUGGCGACCGGCGCACGGGUGAGUAACACGUAUCCAACCUGCCGUCUACUCUUGGACAGCCUUCUGAAAGGAAGAUUAAUACAAGAUGGCAUCAUGAGUCCGCAUGUUCACAUGAUUAAAGGUAUUCCGGUAGACGAUGGGGAUGCGUUCCAUUAGAUAGUAGGCGGGGUAACGGCCCACCUAGUCUUCGAUGGAUAGGGGUUCUGAGAGGAAGGUCCCCCACAUUGGAACUGAGACACGGUCCAAACUCCUACGGGAGGCAGCAGUGAGGAAUAUUGGUCAAUGGGCGAGAGCCUGAACCAGCCAAGUAGCGUGAAGGAUGACUGCCCUAUGGGUUGUAAACUUCUUUUAUAAAGGAAUAAAGUCGGGUAUGGAUACCCGUUUGCAUGUACUUUAUGAAUAAGGAUCGGCUAACUCCGUGCCAGCAGCCGCGGUAAUACGGAGGAUCCGAGCGUUAUCCGGAUUUAUUGGGUUUAAAGGGAGCGUAGAUGGAUGUUUAAGUCAGUUGUGAAAGUUUGCGGCUCAACCGUAAAAUUGCAGUUGAUACUGGAUAUCUUGAGUGCAGUUGAGGCAGGCGGAAUUCGUGGUGUAGCGGUGAAAUGCUUAGAUAUCACGAAGAACUCCGAUUGCGAAGGCAGCCUGCUAAGCUGCAACUGACAUUGAGGCUCGAAAGUGUGGGUAUCAAACAGGAUUAGAUACCCUGGUAGUCCACACGGUAAACGAUGAAUACUCGCUGUUUGCGAUAUACGGCAAGCGGCCAAGCGAAAGCGUUAAGUAUUCCACCUGGGGAGUACGCCGGCAACGGUGAAACUCAAAGGAAUUGACGGGGGCCCGCACAAGCGGAGGAACAUGUGGUUUAAUUCGAUGAUACGCGAGGAACCUUACCCGGGCUUAAAUUGCAGAUGAAUUACGGUGAAAGCCGUAAGCCGCAAGGCAUCUGUGAAGGUGCUGCAUGGUUGUCGUCAGCUCGUGCCGUGAGGUGUCGGCUUAAGUGCCAUAACGAGCGCAACCCUUGUUGUCAGUUACUAACAGGUCAUGCUGAGGACUCUGACAAGACUGCCAUCGUAAGAUGUGAGGAAGGUGGGGAUGACGUCAAAUCAGCACGGCCCUUACGUCCGGGGCUACACACGUGUUACAAUGGGGGGUACAGAGGGCCGCUACCACGCGAGUGGAUGCCAAUCCCCAAAACCUCUCUCAGUUCGGACUGGAGUCUGCAACCCGACUCCACGAAGCUGGAUUCGCUAGUAAUCGCGCAUCAGCCACGGCGCGGUGAAUACGUUCCCGGGCCUUGUACACACCGCCCGUCAAGCCAUGGGAGCCGGGGGUACCUGAAGUGCGUAACCGCGAGGAGCGCCCUAGGGUAAAACUGGUGACUGGGGCUAAGUCGUAACAAGGUAGCCGUACCGGAAGGUGCGGCUGGAACACCUCCUUUCU
RNAcentral lists this ribosomal RNA (1520 nucleotides) under Phocaeicola vulgatus. RNAcentral's name for it is "Bacteroides vulgatus 16S ribosomal RNA". It matches the Rfam family "Bacterial small subunit ribosomal RNA". The record is from RNAcentral. Lineage: Bacteria; Pseudomonadati; Bacteroidota; Bacteroidia; Bacteroidales; Bacteroidaceae.